ACAACGCGGGACCUGUUACUUUUGUUUUGAGUGGAAAGUGUUACUACUAUAGAGUUACACCCGGCUCAAUUGAUCCCUUUUAUUGUGGAAUUUUAUUUUUUUACAGUCUAUGGAUAAUCCUGAUGUGUUCCCGCUACAAGUUACCCCCCUCCCCUCAUAAUUUACCUAGUUAGCAUGCUUACGUUAGUUUGAAGUUGAGUUAACGGUUUUCUUUGUUUAAAAAAUCACAACGGUUUGAAACGUUAGCCAAACGGAAUUCGUGUGACAUGGAAUUAUUUCAGAAAGUGGAAAAGAUUGGAGAAGGGACGUACGGGGUGGUGUACAAGGCAAAGAACAAAGUCACGGGAGAGACUGUUGCACUCAAGAAAAUCAGACUCGACACGGAAACAGAGGGAGUACCAAGCACUGCCAUCAGAGAGAUAUCGCUCCUCAAAGAGCUCAGCCACCCAAAUAUUGUCAAGCUCUGUGAUGUCAUCCACACAGAGAACAAACUGUACCUGGUUUUUGAGUUCCUUCAUCAGGACCUUAAGAAGUUCAUGGACUCCUCUGUCUCUGGUAUCUCUCUGCCACUUGUCAAGAGUUACCUGUUCCAGCUGCUGCAGGGCCUGGCCUUCUGUCACUCCCACAGGGUUCUCCAUCGGGACCUGAAGCCCCAGAACCUUCUCAUUAACGCCCAGGGGGAGAUCAAGCUGGCUGACUUCGGCCUGGCUAGGGCCUUUGGGGUGCCUGUCCGCACCUACACUCAUGAGGUGGUAACUCUAUGGUACCGAGCUCCAGAAAUUCUUUUGGGCUGCAAAUACUACUCCACAGCGGUUGACAUCUGGAGUUUGGGCUGUAUCUUUGCUGAAAUGAUAACCAGGAGGGCCUUGUUUCCAGGCGACUCAGAGAUCGAUCAGCUGUUCCGGAUCUUCCGUACCCUGGGCACACCGGACGAGGUGGCUUGGCCAGGGGUCACGUCCAUGCCUGACUACAAGCCCUCCUUCCCCAAGUGGGCCCGACAGGAGCUGUCCAAAGUGGUUCCCCCACUGGACGAGGACGGGAGAGAGCUGCUCAAGCGCUGCAACUCCCCAACGGGCUCGGGAGGUGACGGUUGAGUCAUGCAUCCUCCGAAACAUGAACUGCCAGACCGUGCUUCUUAACACCGACCCUCUUAACCCGGAACCCAGCCACACCAAUGUGUUGGAGGAAACACUGUUCAAUUGACGACCGUGGCCAGCCUGCAGCAAAUGCUGAGCUAUGACCCAAACAAGAGGAUAUCUGCCAAAAAUGCCCUCGUCCAUCGUUUUUUCCGUGAUGUCACCAUGCCAAUGCCACACCUACGACUGUGACAUGCAGACUGACAGGAACAAUACAUUGCCCAGGGUCUUUCCAUGAGAGAUCCCUGAGCAGGAGGACUGCCCCAGCUCUUAUCCACACCUGAAUACUACAGUCCAGGAGAUGGGAGAGAUCACAGUGAAAUAUGGAUGCCUUUCCAAAAGUCAUUCUAGCAGCCAAAAACCAGCAUUUGUAUAAAUUGAUGUCCUGUGAGUUUUUUCUCUACAGCUAUGAGUGCCUGUUAUGUCAUAGAGAAUGAACUCUAGAGUUGUUUCAGCAUUUUAUGUGUAUUGAAAGGGUUAACUUGGUUUGUGUACAUUUUAGUCAUUUAGCAGAUGCAAGCUCUUUAUUUGUUCAUUGCAUAAUUUAUGAUAAAAAGUUGAUUAAAUUAGUUUGAGCUUUA
Oncorhynchus gorbuscha (pink salmon) is the source of this 1717-nucleotide RNA transcript. It is a transcript of the gene named cyclin-dependent kinase 2-like, with no coding region annotated. Lineage: Eukaryota; Metazoa; Chordata; Actinopteri; Salmoniformes; Salmonidae. The record is from RefSeq and is a predicted model, not a curated record. The transcript is spliced from 8 exons.